Molecule: ribosomal RNA, 508 nt
Filed under: uncultured bacterium
Lineage: Bacteria
Description: partial 16S ribosomal RNA
Rfam family: Bacterial small subunit ribosomal RNA
Source: RNAcentral
GACGAACGCUGGCGGCGUGCCUAAUACAUGCAAGUCGAACGCUUCUUUCCUCCCGAGUGCUUGCACUCAAUUGGAAAGAGGAGUGGCGGACGGGUGAGUAACACGUGGGUAACCUACCCAUCAGAGGGGGAUAACACUUGGAAACAGGUGCUAAUACCGCAUAACAGUUUAUGCCGCAUGGCAUAAGAGUGAAAGGCGCUUUCGGGUGUCGCUGAUGGAUGGACCCGCGAUGCAUUAGCUAGUUGGUGAGGUAACGGCUCACCAAGGCCACGAUGCAUAGCCGACCUGAGAGGGUGAUCGGACACACUGGGACUGAGACACGGCCCAGACUCCUACGGGAGGCAGCAGUAGGGAAUCUUCGGCAAUGGACGAAAGUCUGACCGAGCAACGCCGCGUGAGUGAAGAAGGUUUUCGGAUCGUAAAACUCUGUUGUUAGAGAAGAACAAGGACGUUAGUAACUGAACGUCCCCUGACGGUAUCUAACCAGAAAGCCACGGCUAACUACGUG